RNAcentral lists this ribosomal RNA (179 nucleotides) under uncultured bacterium. RNAcentral describes it as "partial 16S ribosomal RNA". It matches the Rfam family "Bacterial small subunit ribosomal RNA", at positions 334 to 505 of the family's 1533-position model. The record is from RNAcentral.
UACUCCUACGGGAGGCAGCAGUGGGGAAUAUUGCGCAAUGGGGGAAACCCUGACGCAGCGACGCCGCGUGAGCGAAGAAGGCCUUAGGGUCGUAAAGCUCUGUUCUAAGGGACGAAGUCCUUCCGGGGUAAUAUAUCGGAAGGGUGACGGUACCUAAGAGAAAGCCCCGGCUAAUCACG